GCGCCCCGGGCGGGGCGGGGGCACGGGGGGAACGCGAAGAACCUUACCUACCCUUGACAUGGCAGGAAUCCCGGAGAGAUUGGGGAGUGCUCGAAAGGGAACCUGAACACAGGUGCUGCAUGGCUGUCGUCAGCUCGUGUCGUGAGAUGUUGGGUUAAGUCCCGCAACGAGCGCAACCCUUGUCAUUAGUUGCUACGAAAGGGCACUCUAAUGAGACUGCCGGUGACAAACCGGAGGAAGGUGGGGAUGACGUCAAGUCCUCAUGGCCCUUAUGGGUAGGGCUUCACACGUCAUACAAUGGUACAUACAGAGGGCCGCCAACCCGCGAGGGGGAGCUAAUCCCAGAAAGUGUAUCGUAGUCCGGAUUCUGUAGUCUGCAACUCGACUGCAUGAAGUUGGAAUCGCUAGUAAUCGCGGAUCAGCAUGUCGCGGUGAAUACGUUCCCG
Molecule: ribosomal RNA, 446 nt
Filed under: uncultured bacterium
Lineage: Bacteria
Description: bacterial SSU rRNA
Rfam family: Bacterial small subunit ribosomal RNA
Source: RNAcentral